GGCUUGAUAGCUCAACUGGUCGAGCACUGCUCCGGUAUCGCAGAGGUCAUGGGUUCGAAUCCCGUUCAACCCU
RNAcentral lists this transfer RNA (73 nucleotides) under Acropora cervicornis. RNAcentral describes it as "tRNA-Thr". It matches the Rfam family "tRNA". Rfam says of the family: Transfer RNA (tRNA) molecules are approximately 80 nucleotides in length. Their secondary structure includes four short double-helical elements and three loops (D, anti-codon, and T loops). The record is from RNAcentral. Lineage: Eukaryota; Metazoa; Cnidaria; Anthozoa; Scleractinia; Acroporidae.